UUGGGAAUAUUGGACAAUGGGAGAAAUCCUGAUCCAGCAAUCCCGCGUGAGGGAAGAAGGUCCUCGGAUCGUAAACCUCUUUCAGCAGGGAAGAUAAUGACGGUACCUGCAGAAGAAGCACCGGCUAACUCUGUGCCAGCAGCCGCGGUAAUACAGAGGGUGCAAGCGUUGUUCGGAAUCAUUGGGCGUAAAGCGUGUGUAGGCGGUUUGCUAAGUCUGGUGUGAAAGCCCGGAGCUUAACUCCGGAAGUGCACUGGAUACUGGCAAGCUAGAGGACGAGAGAGGGAGGCAGAAUUCCUGGUGUAGGGGUGAAAUCCGUAGAUAUCAGGAGGAACAUCGGAAGCGAAGGCGGCUUCCUGGCUCGUUUCUGACGCUGAGACACGAAAGCGUGGGUAGCAAA
This 400-nucleotide ribosomal RNA is filed under the name uncultured bacterium. RNAcentral describes it as "bacterial SSU rRNA". It matches the Rfam family "Bacterial small subunit ribosomal RNA", at positions 355 to 772 of the family's 1533-position model. The record is from RNAcentral.